AAAAUAAAUGCAACUAAUCUUACCCUAUCCAGUCAAAUCAAGAAUAGCUGGAUACCAUUAAAUUCUUCUUUUCAUUUCCAAUGCCCAGCAUAAUGAAUAGCAGGCUUUCAAUAAAAAUAAAACGUUUUCUCUGCUACUCUUCCUUCCAGAAAACUCUUCUCUUCCUUCAGUCUGGCGGUUUUGGCCAAAGGUUUCCCACCGCUCUCCGAACCAUCACAGGAACUUCCUUCUCCAGGUAAAAGCAUUCAUUUCUUCUCAGGGCCUCCUUUGCUAUAGUGUGUGCGUAAAUGUUUUUUGCCUUUUGGAUGAAACUGAACUCAAUCUCCUGAAAACUGUUGCAAUGAGUCUGAAUAUCUCUGAUAAUUGCUCUAAUGACCGAUUUGUCUGUAUUUUUGCUUUUACAUUUCUUUAUAAUGGUUCUCGAAUCCCCCAUAACAUCUAUUCUGUUAACUCCCAGUCUAAUCCCUAGUUUUAUUGCAUGUAAUCCUGCAUAUGCCUCUGCUGUAAAUGGAUUUGCUACGUUUGAAUGAGUAACUGCUUGUGUUGCAAGUAGUACCCCUUCCUCGUUCCAUGCUAUUAAACCCGAUGCCGAUCUGAAAUCCUGACUGUUGAAGGCUGCAUCAAAAUGAAUAAUGGUCCUACCGCUUCUGGACACCUGUUGAGAAAACUCAUGAGACAAAAGAGUAAUUUUUCCUUCCUUUGUAACUGCAAGUUCUGUAAUAUAAUCGCUGAUCUUCCUAACGAUUUCUGAUCCUGACAUAUUCUUUCUUUCAUAAACGAGCUGGUUUCUACUGAACCAUAUGAACCAGAGGCUACAAUAGAAGAGUCGAAGUUGUUCAUCAGUUCCUCUAGCAAAGACCCAUGUAAGCCAACCCCAUAUAUUAUCAUUAUUCUGACUCAGUAGCCAUGAAAGAUUCAACUGAUUCCAAACUUCUAUCGAUGUAGGGCAUUUUUGGAAGAUAUGGUAGCUAUUCUCUUCAUCACUUCCGCAUCUAGGACACUGGGAAUUCCUAACAACCCUUUUGAUUUUGAGGUUGUUAAAAGUUGGGAUAAAGUUCCAAGAGAUCCUCCAUACUGUCAUUUGAAUUUUUGAGGGAAUAUGUAAUUUCCAUAAUUUAGUAUAGAAAUUUUUUUCCUCGGUAUGUAACAUUAAUCCAUUAGGAUCAAGGUUAGUCUGCUGUAAUAGUUUAUAAGCACUCCUUACGGAGAACUCCCCUGUCGGUUCUCCUCUCCAUGCUUGAACGUCCUCUUAUACUGUCUCCGCCAGUGGGAUCUGUAAAAUUUUCUCCGUAAUGACCAGUUGGAAG
This 1307-nucleotide long non-coding RNA is filed under the name Gossypium barbadense (sea-island cotton). RNAcentral describes it as "long non-coding RNA (GBAR_LNC020169)". Lineage: Eukaryota; Viridiplantae; Streptophyta; Magnoliopsida; Malvales; Malvaceae. The record is from RNAcentral.